AUCCCAGGAAUCCCAGGAUCACGCCCUGAGCCAACGGCAGAUGCUCAAACACUGAGCCACCCAGAUUAGUUUUGCCUGUUCUUGAAACUGAUGCCCAUGGACUCCUCCCCCCACUCUAUUUUUGCUGAAUUAUUUUAAAGCAAACCCCAGAUCUUAUGUUACUUCGUCUCUACAUGAUUUGAAUCAAGGAGUGCUUACAUUUUAGACAUAGCCCAUGCUCACCAUGAUGGAGGAGCCAGCCACAAAAAAUACCAGCUAAGAAUGGACUUAUUAUAAAUUCUAACACAAGGACUAUUCAUGUGGAGUGCAGCAAGUGCAAGGCUGAGCUCUGUGACCCAGAGACGUACUCUUGAGUUCUCCCCAUUUAGUGGUGCAGAAAUAUCUCUGCCUCUUGCUUCUUUGCAAUACAUCACCUCCUGGGAGCAGGUUCAGGCUUACUGCCCUCUCCCCUCAUUAGUCAUAUGUGUGCUACGGGCUCUCGAGCCUUUCCCAAACCUUUCUUAUCCCACCCUUCCCCAAAAGGGUUCCUGCCUCUCC
Long non-coding RNA from Canis lupus familiaris (dog), 537 nucleotides. RefSeq lists it as uncharacterized. The record is from RefSeq and is a predicted model, not a curated record. NCBI's taxonomy places the organism in Eukaryota, Metazoa, Chordata, Mammalia, Carnivora, Canidae. The transcript has 3 exons.